GGAGAUUAUGGCAAAACCAAAGUUAUUUCCUUACUUUAAGGAUUGCAUCGGAGCGAUAGAUGGCACUCACGUGGCAGCGGCACCAUCGGACUAUAUGCAAGUGCAAUAUCACGGCCUUAAGAGUGUACCCAACUAAAAUGUGAUGGCUCUAUUCGCUUAUGUGAAGACCAGUUGGCAGGAAUCCGCCCAUAACACCAAAAUGUUGAUGGAGACAGUAGUCAAACCGGAAUUUCCGUUACCCCCAUCUGGUAGGUAUCAUAUUCCACUUGUUAGAUUAAUAUGCAAAACUCUCACGUAUUGUCUAAUGGCUACACAUCUCUCAAUUCAAUUACGGGGAAAUAUUACGUCAUCGAUGCUGAUACCCCAAUAUGACGGGUUUCUUGGCACCUUACAAUGGAGAGAACUAUCAUCCAAGUCAUUUUGAAGGACAUCAUGUUAAUUCUCGAAAGGAGCUGUUUAACAAGCGGCAUUCGUCAGUUCGGAACGUCAUUGAACCAUGUUUUGGUGUCCUUAAGAACAUAUUUGUCAUAUUAGGACUGAUGCCCAAUUUCCCGGUCUAUAAGCAAGUGGACAUUGUGCUAUCGUGUUUUGUCCUUCACAAUUUCAUCAAAACGAGGAUCAUUUCGAUCAUUUGUUUGAAGAGCAUGGAGAUAACUACUAUGAUGUAGAAGACAAAUUGCCCCAAGAAGGACAAGUAGUGGAAGUGGACUUCAGUACUAUUGAGAUGGACCGACAAGGCAAACGCAUAUCAGUAGAACUGUGGAGUAAUUGGGACGGCAGUGACUAAUGUUGCAUGAGCGUAUCUCGGACUUAUCUGGAUUGCAUGUUCUUUUUAUUCAAUCGAAAGGAAAGGAGAAUUGAUGUGAGGAAAAAAAAAAAAAACAUCACAAGCGCCUGACA
Punica granatum (pomegranate) is the source of this 900-nucleotide non-coding RNA. Lineage: Eukaryota; Viridiplantae; Streptophyta; Magnoliopsida; Myrtales; Lythraceae. The record is from RefSeq and is a predicted model, not a curated record.